AUUGAACGCUGGCGGCAGGCCUAACACAUGCAAGUCGAGCGGAUGAAGGGAGCUUGCUCCUGGAUUCAGCGGCGGACGGGUGAGUAAUGCCUAGGAAUCUGCCUGGUAGUGGGGGAUAACGUCCGGAAACGGGCGCUAAUACCGCAUACGUCCUGAGGGAGAAAGUGGGGGAUCUUCGGACCUCACGCUAUCAGAUGAGCCUAGGUCGGAUUAGCUAGUUGGUGGGGUAAAGGCCUACCAAGGCGACGAUCCGUAACUGGUCUGAGAGGAUGAUCAGUCACACUGGAACUGAGACACGGACCAGGCUCCUACGGGAGGCAGCAGUGGGGAAUAUUGGGCAAUGGGCGAAAGCCUGAUCCAGCCAUGCCACGUGUGUGAAGAAGGUCUUCGGAUUGUAAAGCACUUUAUGUUGGGAGGAAGGGCAGUAAGUUAAUACCUUGCUGUUUUGACGUUACCAACAGAAUAAGCACCGGCUAACUUCGUG
This 484-nucleotide ribosomal RNA is filed under the name uncultured bacterium. Its description in RNAcentral is "partial 16S ribosomal RNA". It matches the Rfam family "Bacterial small subunit ribosomal RNA", at positions 30 to 507 of the family's 1533-position model. The record is from RNAcentral.